AGAGUUUGAUCCUGGCUCAGAGCGAACGCUGGCGGCAGGCCUAACACAUGCAAGUCGAACGGUCUCUUCGGAGGCAGUGGCGGACGGGUGAGUAACGCGUGGGAACGUGCCCUUUGGUUCGGAACAACACAGGGAAACUUGUGCUAAUACCGGAUGUGCCCUUCGGGGGAAAGAUUUAUCGCCAUUGGAGCGGCCCGCGUUGGAUUAGGUAGUUGGUGGGGUAAAGGCCUACCAAGCCUACGAUCCAUAGCUGGUCUGAGAGGAUGAUCAGCCACACUGGGACUGAGACACGGCCCAGACUCCUACGGGAGGCAGCAGUGGGGAAUCUUGCGCAAUGGGCGAAAGCCUGACGCAGCCAUGCCGCGUGUAUGAUGAAGGUCUUAGGAUUGUAAAAUACUUUCACCGGGGAAGAUAAUGACGGUACCCGGAGAAGAAGCCCCGGCUAACUUCGUGCCAGCAGCCGCGGUAAUACGAAGGGGGCUAGCGUUGCUCGGAAUUACUGGGCGUAAAGGGCGCGUAGGCGGACAGUUUAGUCAGAGGUGAAAGCCCAGGGCUCAACCUUGGAAUUGCCUUUGAUACUGGCUGUCUUGAGUUCGGGAGAGGUGAGUGGAAUGCCGAGUGUAGAGGUGAAAUUCGUAGAUAUUCGGCGGAACACCAGUGGCGAAGGCGACUCACUGGCCCGAUACUGACGCUGAGGCGCGAAAGCGUGGGGAGCAAACAGGAUUAGAUACCCUGGUAGUCC
Molecule: ribosomal RNA, 742 nt
Filed under: uncultured bacterium
Lineage: Bacteria
Description: bacterial SSU rRNA
Rfam family: Bacterial small subunit ribosomal RNA
Source: RNAcentral